Long non-coding RNA from Ananas comosus (pineapple), 1080 nucleotides. RefSeq lists it as uncharacterized. The transcript has 2 exons. NCBI's taxonomy places the organism in Eukaryota, Viridiplantae, Streptophyta, Magnoliopsida, Poales, Bromeliaceae. The record is from RefSeq and is a predicted model, not a curated record.
AACUGCAAUUGGAAAAACACCUCCUUAUCCUACUUCUAAAAAUUCUUCUGAUCCACCUAUUGAAACUCCUCCAUCUGAUUCUACAACCACCUCAGUUACAGAACUUAAAACUGACAAAUCUCCCGAGGAAAUUGAAUUUCACUGUAGGUUUAGAAUACUUAACUGCCUAUCUGACGAACUUUAUGAAACUUAUAGGAAAUAUCAAACUGCCAAAGAUUUAUAGCUUGCCUUAGAAGAUGCCUACAUUAGAGAUAAUGAAGGUGUCGCCAGAUUUACCAUUACCGAUUUUAACAAUUUUAGAAUGGUAGACAACAUUCCUAUAAACGAUCAAAUUCACCAAUUUCAGAAUUUUGUCCAAGAGAUUCAUAGGAAUGGAUCAACCCUAGAUGAAACCUAUCAGGCAACCUGUUUAUUGGAUAAAUUACCCCCUUUCUGGACCAAAUUUGCCUAAGAUCUUAGACGAACCCAGGAAACUCUUAAACUUAGAUCGGUAAUCCAAGCCAUUAGAAUAGAAGACCAAUACCGACUUAGAGAGAUUAAACCGUCCAACAACCGAUCAAACAUAAACCUGACCGAGAUUCCGAACCAGAGCCAUGAGCCUAAACCCAAAGGUAAAAAUUUUAAACCUAAGGGUAAAGGCUUUAAAGGUAGGAACCCUAAUCGAAAUCGGAACUAUACCCAGAAACCCAAUACCAACCAACCUAGUGGGAAUAAGAAGAAUGAUGGUUUCUGUUAUGUAUGUGGCCGUGACAACCAUUUUGCCUCAAAAUGUUUUUAUCGGAAGAAAAAGAAGGUUGUCUACAAGAAGGGCCAAGACAAUCAGAACAACUAUCCUAAACCUCAGGUCAACAUGAUUAAGGGUGAACCUUCCAACUCCACUUUUAGGACACAAGUGGAGGAUGUGUGACUGUUGGAGAUGGAAAAGCUGUCAAUGUGUUGGGGAUCGGAACAGUCAAGCUGAAGUUAACUUCAGGAAAGACGUUAAUCCUUCACAAUGUGCAGCAUUCCCCUGAAAUCCGACGGAACCUGAUUAGUGGAUCUUUAUUAGUGCAAUUAGGAUAUAAGAUUGUAUUAGAAUCC